This 24-nucleotide microRNA is filed under the name Solanum tuberosum (potato). RNAcentral describes it as "stu-miR7984d-3p". Lineage: Eukaryota; Viridiplantae; Streptophyta; Magnoliopsida; Solanales; Solanaceae. The record is from miRBase by way of RNAcentral.
CAAUUUCGGUCAAAGUUCGGAUAU